CGCGUAGGUGGUCGGGCGCGCCGGUGGUGAAAGCGCGGGGCUCAACCCCGCGUCGGCCAUCGGGACGGUCCGACUCGAGCAUGGUAGAGGCAGGUGGAAUUCCGGGUGUAGCGGUGGAAUGCGUAGAGAUCCGGAAGAACACCGGUGGCGAAGGCGGCCUGCUGGGCCAUGGCUGACACUGAGGCGCGACAGCGUGGGGAGCAAACAGGAUUAGAUACCCCAGUA
Molecule: ribosomal RNA, 225 nt
Filed under: uncultured Gemmatimonas sp.
Lineage: Bacteria; Pseudomonadati; Gemmatimonadota; Gemmatimonadia; Gemmatimonadales; Gemmatimonadaceae
Description: partial 16S ribosomal RNA
Rfam family: Bacterial small subunit ribosomal RNA
Source: RNAcentral